GACGUAGGAUGCAAGCGUUGUCCGGAUUUAUUGGGCGUAAAGAGUUCGUAGGCUGCUCGUUAAGUCUGGUGUAAAAGAUCAAGGCUCAACCUUGGGACUGCACUGGAUACUGGCGGGCUGGAGUAUGGUAGAGGCAAGCGGAAUUCCUGGUGUAGCGGUGAAAUGCGUAGAUAUCAGGAAGAACACCAGUUGCGCAAGCGGCUUGCUGGGCCAUAACUGACGCUGAGGAACGAAAGCUAGGGUAGCGAAUGGG
RNAcentral lists this ribosomal RNA (253 nucleotides) under uncultured bacterium. RNAcentral's name for it is "partial 16S ribosomal RNA". It matches the Rfam family "Bacterial small subunit ribosomal RNA", at positions 524 to 776 of the family's 1533-position model. The record is from RNAcentral.